UUGAGCAAUAACAGAUCGUUAAUGUGUGUUGCUGACCUUGGCCGGUGCCUCCACUGCCGGUUAGCGGUUUGGCAGGGAGUGGUCACGUGGUGACUGGGUUUUAGGGAGGACUCCGGACUGACUGGAGCUCAGCAGCAGCAUCCUCUUGCGACAAGGCGGUGUCACACCCUCUCCACCUCGCCACUGGCGGUGGGAAGGCGGGUGAGAAGAAACCCAGGCUAGGUUCUUCUUCCCGAUUAUUUCUUCUCCAAGCUCUCAACUCGUUCUACUUCAGUAUUGUCAGCUUCGCGAACCUGGCCUGUUUGGUUGUCUUUCCUCUGCACCCUGAAUGAGAAAAUCUAAUUCUGAGAGGGCCGGGAGAUGCCCUUCUGAAUGGGUCGUAAUAAUUCCUGUGAUCAUGUUUGAGGCUCUGUUCUGAAGCAGAAACUUUUGUUUCCUGACUACAAAUACACCACACGUCUGAACAGCCUGUGCACUGGAAGCUCCAUCUCAUACAUCUAUAGAAACAUGACUUGGUAACUGGAAUGUACAGUAUUUAAAGCUGUUCAGAAUUAUCUGUCUCCCCCCACCCCCCAUCCUGGGGCUUGGGGUGGGAACAAUGAGCUCAAUAGGAUCAUUGAUGACAGAAUUCAGGGAGAAAGAAAUGUCCCGGCCCAUGGCCUCUGGCUGGCAUUUCAGGACCCUCAACCUCCCUUGUCCACUUGAAACCCAGCAAAGGCCAUUUACCUUCUCCACAGUCGCUAACUCACCUGAGAAACCAGCUUCACCAAAGAGGGCUUCUGGGAAUUGGAACCUGCCCCUGGGGACUGGCUGGCCCAGUAACUACGGUGUUGGAUCAACAGACACUAAACAUUUAUUCACCAGGAAGGUGCAUAGCUGUGAUUACUGUGCACUGUUUCUUCCCAGCCAUGUCCAGCUGCCUUGACGCUCCCUUCCCAGGAAGAGGAUACAUUUCAACGUAAUUAAAAGUCGAGAGCUGUUUCCUGGACGUUGAGUAUAUCCAGUUACUACAUUGCUUUGUUUCAGCAAAUCCAGA
Meriones unguiculatus (Mongolian gerbil) is the source of this 1036-nucleotide long non-coding RNA. RefSeq lists it as uncharacterized. The record is from RefSeq and is a predicted model, not a curated record. NCBI's taxonomy places the organism in Eukaryota, Metazoa, Chordata, Mammalia, Rodentia, Muridae. The transcript has 2 exons.